AAUCCGAACCACAAAAUCAUAUUCGGGUCCAAAUCAACCAUUCAGGUUGAACUUUCUCUCCAAUCUAAUCUCAAUCGAGAUUUCUGCAAUUAAGAAGGAAAUAUUUUCCAUUUCCGUCACAGAUUUAUCCGACUUCAUGAGGUUCUUUUGCGAUUCAACGGUCACGUUCGCUCCGUCAUCGCACGCGGAGUUUCCUUUUAUCGAUCAGCCUUGAUUUUGUUUCCUAAUUUUUGGUUGAAGCUCUUGAUUUGUAUAAGUUUGGAACGGAAUUUGGUUGUGAAGAUGAGGGUAAUCAAGUCCCAGGUAUGGCAGCCGUGCAAGAAGAAGAGAUUUUGAUCGAUAGUGAUUAAAUAUAACAGAUAUACUAAAGCCAAGAUUUGAGAGGAAUUGAUCGGUAAUGGCGUCUCGUUCGAGCAAUACCACAGGGAGCAGGACACGUGUGGGGAAGUACGAGCUGGGAAGGACACUGGGAGAAGGGACCUUUGCCAAGGUCAAAUUCGCUCGCAACUGCGAUACUGAAGAGCAUGUCGCAAUCAAGAUUCUCGAUAAAGAGAAACUCCUCAAGCACAAGAUGAUCACCCAGAUUAAACGUGAGAUUUCAACUAUGAAACUGAUUAGGCAUCCAAAUGUCAUCCGCAUGUAUGAGGUGAUGGCCAGCAAGACAAAAAUAUACAUUGUUCUAGAAUUUGUGACUGGUGGGGAACUUUUUGACAAAAUUGCAAGUAAAGGGAGGUUGAAAGAAGAUGAAGCAAGAAAGUACUUUCAGCAGCUUAUUUGCGCUGUUGAUUAUUGCCAUAGCAGAGGGGCAUUCCAUAGGGACUUGAAGCCAGAAAAUUUGCUGCUGGAUGCUAACGGAGUCCUUAAAGUCUCAGAUUUUGGGUUGAGUGCACUACCUCAGCAAGUUCGAGAAGAUGGAUUACUUCAUACAACCUGUGGAACGCCAAAUUAUGUUGCUCCUGAGGUGAUAAACAAUAAAGGCUAUGAUGGAGCUAAGGCAGAUCUGUGGUCAUGCGGGGUGAUUCUUUUUGUCUUAAUGGCAGGUUACUUGCCUUUUGAAGAUAAUAACCUCAUGUCAUUAUAUAAAAAGAUAAAUAAGGCUGACUUCUCAUGUCCUCCUUGGUUCUCAUCAAGUGCAAAGAAACUAAUCAAAAGAAUCUUGGACCCUAAUCCAGUGAGGCGGAUUACAAUCGCGGAGGUUAUGGAGAAUGAGUGGUUCAAGAAAGGAUAUAAACCACCUACUUUUGAACAAGCAGAUGUUAGUCUCGAUGAUGUGAAUGCUAUCUUCAAUGAAUCAUGGGACUCUGGAAACCUUGUUGUAGAAAGGCGAGAAGAAGUGCCUAUGGGCCCCAUUGUCCCUGUGACUAUGAAUGCCUUUGAACUCAUCUCCACAUCUAAGGGCCUCAAUCUUAGUAGUCUUUUUGAGAAGCAAAUGGGACUUGUUAAACGGGAGACUAGAUUCACAUCCAGAUGUCCUGCAAAUGAAAUAAUCUCAAAAAUAGAGGAAGCUGCAGUGCCUUUGGGCUUCGAUGUAAAGAAAAACAACUUCAAGUUGAAGCUUCAGGGGGAGAAAACUGGACGUAAAGGUCAUUUAUCAGUUGCAACAGAAAUAUUUCAGGUGGCCCCUUCCCUUUACAUGGUUGAGCUUCGCAAGUCUGGAGGAGAUACACUUGAAUUUCACAAGGGGUUGGGCAAAGCUUAGUUUAUUCUGCUUUCUGGAAUCAGCUUAGGGGCUCUGGAGUAUGACCAAAGUACUUUAUAUACUUUAGGUCUAGCAAGCAUGGUCGAUCCUUGAUUCUACAAUAACCUCUCAACUGGGCUGAAGGAUAUUGUUUGGAAAUCAGCUGAUGAAACAAAAGAAGAAAAUGGAGAGGCUGGCACAUCGGCAUAAUUCUCCUGGGGGGCUCAAACAUUGUCACAUUCAGACAUCUAAAAGAUUGUUAUGUAACAUAUUGGGUACAGCUUCCUUUGUUGCGUGUUCAUCUUCUUGAAAAAAAGUUGCUUAUAUAGCUUGGAUUUCAUUUAAUUUGAUUUUCCUUCUUCAUGAGAGGUGGUUUGGCUUUGUUUACAUUGGUUCAUAAUGUACACACAACUCAUUUGCAACAGAACAUUUACAAUUACAUUUCAUUGCUUUGCUUUCCAGUAGGGAAGUCA
Molecule: RNA transcript, 2151 nt
Organism: Tripterygium wilfordii
Lineage: Eukaryota; Viridiplantae; Streptophyta; Magnoliopsida; Celastrales; Celastraceae
Gene name: CBL-interacting serine/threonine-protein kinase 23-like
Exons: 16
Source: RefSeq, a predicted model, not a curated record